AUAGGGGAAGCCGAAAACCUUCAGAGUAGGCA
Molecule: non-coding RNA, 32 nt
Filed under: unclassified sequences
Description: DUF805b RNA
Rfam family: DUF805b RNA
About the family: Bacteroidetes, Chlorobi (1 example), Proteobacteria. Lineage (Flavobacteria)
Source: RNAcentral